UGUGGGAGCUGGCUUGCCUGCGAUGACGUGGUGCCAGCUUGCAUCAAUGUGGCCGGUCGACCGCUAUCGCAGGCAAGCCAGCUCCCACA
Molecule: unclassified non-coding RNA, 89 nt
Filed under: Pseudomonas cedrina
Lineage: Bacteria; Pseudomonadati; Pseudomonadota; Gammaproteobacteria; Pseudomonadales; Pseudomonadaceae
Source: RNAcentral